Molecule: transfer RNA, 90 nt
Filed under: Robbsia betulipollinis
Lineage: Bacteria; Pseudomonadati; Pseudomonadota; Betaproteobacteria; Burkholderiales; Burkholderiaceae
Description: tRNA-Ser
Rfam family: tRNA
About the family: Transfer RNA (tRNA) molecules are approximately 80 nucleotides in length.
Source: RNAcentral
GGAGGGCUGGCAGAGUGGUCGAUUGCACCGGUCUUGAAAACCGGCAAGGCUUCGCGGUCUUCGUGGGUUCGAAUCCCACGCCCUCCGCCA